RNAcentral lists this unclassified non-coding RNA (1208 nucleotides) under Hevea brasiliensis (rubber tree). The record is from RNAcentral. Lineage: Eukaryota; Viridiplantae; Streptophyta; Magnoliopsida; Malpighiales; Euphorbiaceae.
UGACACUGCCAUAUGGUGAACCCCAUAAAGCUAACCAUUUGUUCAAACGCUGCUAAGAUAAUUGGGCGAAGAUUGAAGACAAUUUAGAAGUUGGAAUUUUUUUUUCUUUUAAGGGAAAACAACUUCCAGCUGUUAAGAGAAAACAACCUUUCUACAACAAAUGAUGAACACAAGCGCCCAAAUCAGGACGAAUUUCAUUUUGGUAAAGAUAGGACAACAAAUCAUAGAAAACAUAUCAUCAUAUCAUUUGACCUAUUGCUUGAGCAUCAUCUCUUUCUGCAAGUCAGCACAAGCAUUUUCAAACUCACAGCUCUGCAAGCAAGUGAAAUUUAAUUGUUAUAAUCAUACUGCAGAUAGGGACAAAGAAAGAAAACCACCUUGUGUGCACGUAACCUGAUUUCUAACUAUACUUAUCCUGAAAUCAUAAAAAUUGAUAAACCAUCAUACCUUGAUAACAGUCUAUGUCUCGUGGCUCCACAAGGAUAUAAAGUGGCUUUCCUUUGAGCCUGCACUGCCCCUGAAAGACAACAAUGUCACGAGUAAAGAUCAAAAAUUAAGCUUGCAGAGGAAAUAAACAUGAAGUGAAUUAUCAACCCACAUUGCAUUCGAAUUUGCAGGCAUGAAUAGCUAAAUUAUUACGAUGAAUUGGCUUCCAGAAUAUACCAUCACUGGCAUGAUUUAUAUGUUUGACGCAACUAGGCAAGGGAAUCAACAGUUUGUAGAAAAACUAUAUCAGACAGUAGCUAAUAUCCUGUUUAAUAAUAAAUAGCUCAGAGAGAAGGAAUUGAGAGACAACAAGAAGGCAUCAGGUCAAGUCUCACUUCCCCUGAAUUAAUCUUUAUAUUAAAUUAAAGAUUUCUUCCCCCAUUUCUUCAUUUCUCAGUGAAGGUUUUUACAUAAAAAACAAAACUACAAAGAGAUAACAUAGCCGGCAUAACAAUGGUAAUGCUUAAAUCAUUACCUUAGCCUCUGGCAACCCAAUAACACAUGCGCAUUCGACAACUUCAGCCCCCAUGCGUUCUAAGAAAACAUCAUUAUGACACAUUAUUUGUGAGAAUAAGCCAAACAGCAGAUAGUAAAUAAAGGUAACGUGGUCAAGGCCCAAGGUGGAUGCCAAGCGUCAUUAUGACACAUUAUUUGUGAGAAUAAGCCAAACAGCAGAUAGUAAAUAAAGGUAACGUGGUCAAGGCCCAAGGUGGAUGCCAAGC